This 253-nucleotide ribosomal RNA is filed under the name uncultured bacterium. RNAcentral's name for it is "partial 16S ribosomal RNA". It matches the Rfam family "Bacterial small subunit ribosomal RNA", at positions 524 to 776 of the family's 1533-position model. The record is from RNAcentral.
UACGUAGGUGGCAAGCGUUGUCCGGAUUUAUUGGGUUUAAAGGGUGCGUAGGCGGCUUUGUAAGUCAGUGGUGAAAUAUGGCAGCUCAACUGUCAAGGUGCCAUUGAUACUGCGGAGCUUGAGUACAGAUGAGGUAGGCGGAAUUGACGGUGUAGCGGUGAAAUGCUUAGAUAUCGUCAAGAACACCUAUAGCGAAGGCAGCUUACUAGGCUGUAACUGACGCUGAGGCACGAAAGCUAGGGGAGCGAACAGG